RNAcentral lists this ribosomal RNA (446 nucleotides) under uncultured bacterium. RNAcentral describes it as "partial 16S ribosomal RNA". It matches the Rfam family "Bacterial small subunit ribosomal RNA", at positions 29 to 523 of the family's 1533-position model. The record is from RNAcentral.
AACGAACGCUGGCGGCAGGCUUAACACAUGCAAGUCGAACGCCCCGCAAGGGGAGUGGCGCACGGGUGCGUAACGCGUGGGAACAUGCCCUUAGGUGCGGAACAACGUCGGGAAACUAACGCUAAUACCGCAUAAUAUCUCCGGAUCAAAGAUUAUCGCCUAAGGAUUGGCCCGCGUUAGAUUAGGUAGUUGGUGGGGUAAUGGCCUACCAAGCCGACGAUCUAUAGCUGGUCUGAGAGGAUGAUCAGCCACACUGGAACUGAGACACGGUCCAGACUCCUACGGGAGGCAGCAGUGAGGAAUAUUGGACAAUGGGGGAAACCCUGAUCCAGCCAUGCCGCGUGAGUGAUGAAGGCCUUAGGGUUGUAAAGCUCUUUUAGAUGGGAAGAUAAUGACUGUACCAUUAGAAUAAGCCCCGGCUAAAUUCGUGCCAGCAGCCGCGGUAA